CCUACGGGUGGCAGCAGUAGGGAAUAUUGCACAAUGGGGGAAACCCUGAUGCAGCAACGCCGCGUGGGGGAAGAAGGUUUUCGGAUUGUAAAGCCCUUUUAGCAGGGAAGAGAAAGGACGGUACCUGCAGAGGAAGCCACGGCUAACUACGUGCCAGCAGCCGCGGUAAUACGUAGGUGGCAAGCGUUGUUCGGAAUAACUGGGCGUAAAGGCUGCGUAGGCGGUUAAACAAGUUAUAUGUUAAAUAUAUAGGCUUAACCUGUAGAAAGCAUAUAAAACUGUUUAACUAGAGUGUAGGAGAGGUAGGUGGAAUUCUUGGUGUAGGGGUAAAAUGCGUAGAGAUUAGGAAGAACACUAGUGGCGAAGGCGACUUACUGGACCGUAACUGACGCUGAGGCAUGAGAGCAUGGGGAGCAAACAGGAUUAGAUACCCCUGUAGUC
This 441-nucleotide ribosomal RNA is filed under the name uncultured bacterium. RNAcentral's name for it is "partial 16S ribosomal RNA". It matches the Rfam family "Bacterial small subunit ribosomal RNA", at positions 338 to 795 of the family's 1533-position model. The record is from RNAcentral.